GACGAACGCUGGCGGCGUGCUUCAUACAUGCAAGUCGAACGAAAAGCUGACUCUGUUGUGGGGAGCGUGGCGGGCGGGCGGGUGAUUUGUACGUAAGUUACCUUCAGGUGGGGGAGAACAGACGGCAACUUAUUCUAACACCUAACAUGAGCGUACCUGAGCUGCUAUUCUUGAGAACUCCGGUGGCUGGGGGUGGGCCUGCAUCUGGUUAGUUAGUUGGUAGUGUAGGGGUAUACCAAGGCGACGAUGGGUAGCUGGCUUGAGAGGAUGAUGGGCCACAUUGGGACGGAGAUACGGCCCAGCCUCCUACGGGAGGCAGCAGUGGGGAAUAGUGCACAAUGGGCUGAAGCCUGAUGCAGCAACGCCGCGUGCGGGAUGACGGCCUUCGGGUUGUAAACCGCUUUCGCCUGUGACGAAGCGUGAGUGACGGUAAUGGGUAAAGAAGCACCGGCUAACUACGUG
RNAcentral lists this ribosomal RNA (462 nucleotides) under uncultured bacterium. RNAcentral's name for it is "partial 16S ribosomal RNA". It matches the Rfam family "Bacterial small subunit ribosomal RNA", at positions 28 to 507 of the family's 1533-position model. The record is from RNAcentral.